CCUGAAAGGAAUAUGGAUGGGAAGAAGAGAGCAGACACAUAGGCUCCUGGUGGAAGGGGCCUGCCCUGGAACUGAUCCCAGAGCCAGGAGAGAAGCUUCACCCUCUGGCCUCAGGAGGCUCCUGACUUGAGCCCUGAAGGCCCAGAGCCUGCACCUACAGUCCAGAUGGUGCUGACUUUUCUGCCUAAAGCAAGAGCUCUCAGCUGAGGAGGAAAACACUCACCAGGUGACUCCUGAAAUACUCCCGCCCUCUUUUGCCUAGAUCUGUGCCUGACACGUAGGAGGCGAUGGACCUGCAUUUGUUGAACGAAUGAAUGAACACCAGGAAACAGAAACCCGGAGUGCCGGUAGGAGGAUUGUGACUCGUCCAAGGUCACUCUGGGGUUGAACCUCGAACCCGAGACUCCCAGCUCUAGCGGCCUGGCCUCAGGUGCGACUAACAGUCCCUCUGGCAUCAUCAGUCUCGGCCCCGCCAAGCAGGCGAGGAGGAUCGUGGCCGCCGGGGGCAUGGCUGCGGCUCGUCCCAGGCCCGAUGCCACCUAUUCGGCAGGGCCCAGCCGCGCACUCACCUCGGCGGCUCCACUACCGGCGCUGUGCCGCCGCCGCCGCCGCCGCCGCCGCCGCCGCCGCUGCCGCGGUCCACAGUGACAGCUCCCAGUGUGCUGGCACUUCCGGGGUCAAACGGCGAUUCCGCAGGCGCAGACAGGAAGCCCCGACCGGCCCCGCCCCCGGUGCUAACCGCCGCCGGGAAGCCGGGCCCAUGGCCACGCCCCCAGCCUAAAGACUUCGCCCCCACCAGGAACAGGCUGGACGGUAACCACGGCCCCUUCCCCAUUCUUUCUUUCAAGAGAUUCCACCUCUUGGAAAACGCAAGUAUUGUACCUGGUCUCUCAGAAUCUCAGACUUCCAUCUCCUUACUAACCUUCUCAAUCAUCGUUUUACACAUUUCAUCCAAAAGAGUAGUUUUAAUAAGCCAGAAGCAUGAACAUGAUGUUGAGCAAAAAAAAAAAAAAAAGGAAAAUAGUACAGACUGCAAUUUUGUUUACAGGAAUUUCUAGAACCGGCAAGACUAGUGAGCGGUGAUGGGAUUCGAAUGGUGGUUACCUCUGGGGCUGGUGACUGGAAGUGGCCACAAGUGAGACUGGGACAUUGCAUGUCUUCAUCUUUGGGUAGCUACAUAAAUGUGUUCAACUUGGAAAAGUCAUCAAAUUGUACACCUAUGAGCUGUGCACAUUGGUGUGUGUAUGCAAUACAAAUAGGUUUUGUUUUUGUUUUUUGUUUGUUUUAAAUCAAGAAGGCUGUGCUAUAGCUAUCUUUUUUUUUUUUUUUUUAAGAUUUUAUUCAUUUGACAGACACAGAAAAAGAGAGCACAAGUAGGGGGAGUGGCACAUAGAGGGAGAAGCAGGCUCUAGGCUCAGCUGUGGAGGCUGAGCCCCCAUGUGGUAUAGCUAUCUUAAAAGCAAAAUGCAAAUUUUCCACAGAAUGUCUUAGGUGGUAUAAGUAUAAGGUUGGUAUUUCUAAGUCCCGCUGCGCAUCGGAAUCAUCACAGAAAGCUAGUUAAAAAUACACAACCCUGGCUUUCUCUCUGUGCCUAGCACACAGUAAGGAUUCAAAAACCACCACUGCCAGGGUACUGGAGUAGCUCAGUUGGUUAACUGUCUGCCUUCUGGUCAGGUCAUAAUCUUGGGGUCCUGGGAUUGGGCCCAUGUUGCACACCCUACUCAGUGAAGAGUCUGCUUCUCCCUCUCCCUCUGCCUCUCCCCCUACUCGUGUGUGUGUGUGUGUUGCAUGUGUGCACAUGCACUGUCUCUCUUUCUCUCCCUCUCUCAAAUAAAUAAAUAAAAUCUUAAAAAAAAAAAAAAAAAAAAAAGAAAGAAAAGAAAAGAAACCCAGAAGGGUACCUGGGUGACUCAGUUGAUUAAGCAUCUGCCUUCUUCUCAGGUCAUGAUCCCCAGGGUCCUGGCCCAGUGGAGAGCCUGCUUCUCCCUCUCCCUCUGCCUGCUGCUCCCCUUGCUUGUGCUCUCUCUAUCAAAUAAAUAAAUAAAAUCUUUUAAAAAAAAGAGAGAGAGAGAAUUACAAGGGAUGCCUGGCUGGCUCAGUUGGUAGAGCAUGUGACUCUUGAUCUUGGUUGUAAGUUUGAGGCCCAUGUUGGGUGUAAAGAUUACUUAAAAAUAAAAUUAAAAAAAAAAAGAAUUGUAAGUGAUAAAAACUAUUGUACCAUUUUAUAGAGGGGUUUAGAGAUUAAAACAGGGUCACAAUGCUUAUAAAUUGAUGGACUGGGGAUUUUAACCCAGCUUUGUCUAGCUCCAAAGCUUGCUCUCAUAAGCUCUGUACCAAGGACUUGCCCAGGCUCCAUGAAACAAGUUUGGGGGUCUCCAGUCCAGGAAGAAUUCUGUGACCAAAUGCUGCAGACUGAGUCCAAAUGAUGAGGGAGCAGGAGGCUGGCUGAGGACAAAGCAAGAGCUGGAGCCUUGCAACCCUCCCCCCCUUCAUCCGCUCCCCUCCAUAGGUGUAGCAUUGCUCAGGCACCCCUGACUGCCAUAAAAUGAUAAAUAGUUAACUUGCUGAGAUCACAAUCCUGCACGAUAGGAGUCUCCCUUGGUUUGCAAAUGUCCUUGAGAUUACAACAAAGAAGUUACCUUAUCAAUAGCCCAAUUUCCAAAGACACAGAACUCAGUUCCUCAAGCCCUAAUGUCACCCUCCCCUCCAUGAAAAACCGAAGGAGGUGGAGGUAGAAGGAAAAGUAAAUAAAGUUAAAUUUCAUCUAAACCUAAAUCUCAUUAACAAGGAUGCUUGAUAGCAGGAAUGUAACAUUCCACCAGACUUCCAAUUGUCUUUACUUGAUAGCAACUAAGCCUUCAAUAUCCUGAUAGUAUUCUUUGCCCCAAUAGCCCUUCUGAACACCCCUUUGUCCUCACUUACCCAACUCCUGUGUAUAUAACCAACCACUCCUAACAACCCGGGGCGGCCGCAUCUCUGCCUGCCCACGGGCCCUGUCCCCGUGCUUUAAUAAACCACCAUUUUGCACCAA
Long non-coding RNA from Mustela lutreola (European mink), 3031 nucleotides. RefSeq lists it as uncharacterized. The transcript has 2 exons. The record is from RefSeq and is a predicted model, not a curated record. NCBI's taxonomy places the organism in Eukaryota, Metazoa, Chordata, Mammalia, Carnivora, Mustelidae.